RNAcentral lists this long non-coding RNA (279 nucleotides) under Cottoperca gobio. RNAcentral's name for it is "lncRNA (ENSCGOG00000015812.1)". Lineage: Eukaryota; Metazoa; Chordata; Actinopteri; Perciformes; Bovichtidae. The record is from RNAcentral.
GACCCCUCCACCAACCAGUGUCCUGAAUCAUUCUCAUAAGAGCCCCAACCUUAGGUGAACUGAAGUGGUCCACCACAGAGGGAGGACCCGAUGGCUACCUCAUCCACGUUGCCACUGUUAAAGUUCGGACCAUGAAUCCUGCCCUGGUCGUGCCUGCUGUCCUGGUCGUGCAUGCUGCUCUGUCCGUCUGUCAUUUGUGAUAUUGCGUUGUGUAAAAAAGUUGGAUUUGAUUUGAUUUGAUGGUUGUGUUCUACUUUGAAAUAAAUGUUUGAAUUUGAA